RNAcentral lists this ribosomal RNA (922 nucleotides) under Priestia flexa. RNAcentral describes it as "bacterial SSU rRNA". It matches the Rfam family "Bacterial small subunit ribosomal RNA", at positions 48 to 960 of the family's 1533-position model. Lineage: Bacteria; Bacillati; Bacillota; Bacilli; Caryophanales; Bacillaceae. The record is from RNAcentral.
GCUAUACAUGCAAGUCGAGCGAACGAUUAGAAGCUUGCUUCUAUGACGUUAGCGGCGGACGGGUGAGUAACACGUGGGCAACCUGCCUGUAAGACUGGGAUAACUCCGGGAAACCGGAGCUAAUACCGGAUAACAUUUUCUCUUGCAUAAGAGAAAAUUGAAAGAUGGUUUCGGCUAUCACUUACAGAUGGGCCCGCGGUGCAUUAGCUAGUUGGUGAGGUAACGGCUCACCAAGGCAACGAUGCAUAGCCGACCUGAGAGGGUGAUCGGCCACACUGGGACUGAGACACGGCCCAGACUCCUACGGGAGGCAGCAGUAGGGAAUCUUCCGCAAUGGACGAAAGUCUGACGGAGCAACGCCGCGUGAGUGAUGAAGGCUUUCGGGUCGUAAAACUCUGUUGUUAGGGAAGAACAAGUACAAGAGUAACUGCUUGUACCUUGACGGUACCUAACCAGAAAGCCACGGCUAACUACGUGCCAGCAGCCGCGGUAAUACGUAGGUGGCAAGCGUUAUCCGGAAUUAUUGGGCGUAAAGCGCGCGCAGGCGGUUUCUUAAGUCUGAUGUGAAAGCCCACGGCUCAACCGUGGAGGGUCAUUGGAAACUGGGGAACUUGAGUGCAGAAGAGAAAAGCGGAAUUCCACGUGUAGCGGUGAAAUGCGUAGAGAUGUGGAGGAACACCAGUGGCGAAGGCGGCUUUUUGGUCUGUAACUGACGCUGANGCGCGAAAGCGUGGGGAGCAAACAGAUUAGAUACCCUGGUAGUCCACGCCGUAAACGAUGAGUGCUAAGUGUUAGAGGGGUUUCCGCCCUUUAGUGCUGCACUAACCAUUAAGCACUCCGGCUGGGGGAGUACGGGCAGCNAGAGUGGAAUAUCAAGAAUUGAGGGCCCGACCGGUGUAACAUUGUUUUAUACCAAAAUUAU